Molecule: non-coding RNA, 80 nt
Filed under: human gut metagenome
Description: TPP riboswitch (THI element)
Rfam family: TPP riboswitch aptamer (THI element)
About the family: Vitamin B(1) in its active form thiamin pyrophosphate (TPP) is an essential coenzyme that is synthesised by coupling of pyrimidine and thiazole moieties in bacteria.
Source: RNAcentral
UUUGGGGGUGCCCAAUUUUUGGGCUGAGAUGAUACCCUUUGAACCUGAUCCGGGUAAUUCCGGCGUAGGAAAGAGAUGUC